UUAACACCUAAAUUUAUAUGAAAAAAAAUUGUCUAAAUUUCAAGUUUUGGAGAAAUACUUCCUCCAAAUAUAGAAUUUUGGGCGGCCCAUUCUUCACAGGGCUUUACUGCCGCAUAAAGACGAGAAGGCUACCGUCUACGAAGAUACAGCUAUUAAAAGUUUAUCUGGAAAUCCAAACCCUGGGAAGAACGGAGCUCAAAAUACUGUAUUUUUGUAAAAUAUAUUCCCCACCUCUGCUAAAUUUGAUUGUGAAUUAAAAAUUAAUGUUGAUAAGGAACGUA
This is a long non-coding RNA of Folsomia candida, 281 nucleotides long. RefSeq lists it as uncharacterized. The record is from RefSeq and is a predicted model, not a curated record. NCBI's taxonomy places the organism in Eukaryota, Metazoa, Arthropoda, Collembola, Entomobryomorpha, Isotomidae. The transcript is spliced from 2 exons.